This 688-nucleotide ribosomal RNA is filed under the name uncultured bacterium. RNAcentral describes it as "bacterial SSU rRNA". It matches the Rfam family "Bacterial small subunit ribosomal RNA", at positions 118 to 839 of the family's 1533-position model. The record is from RNAcentral.
UAGGGAUCUAUCCAUGGGUGGGGGAUAACAUCGGGAAACUGGUGCUAAUACCGCAUGAUACCUGAGGGUCAAAGGCGCAAGUCGCCUGUGGAGGAGCCUGCGUUCGAUUAGCUUGUUGGUGGGGUAAAGGCCUACCAAGGCGAUGAUCGAUAGCUGGUCUGAGAGGAUGAUCAGCCACACUGGGACUGAGACACGGCCCAGACUCCUACGGGAGGCAGCAGUGGGGAAUAUUGGACAAUGGGCGAAAGCCUGAUCCAGCAAUGCCGCGUGUGUGAAGAAGGUCUUCGGAUUGUAAAGCACUUUCGACGGGGACGAUGAUGACGGUACCCGUAGAAGAAGCCCCGGCUAACUUCGUGCCAGCAGCCGCGGUAAUACGAAGGGGGCUAGCGUUGCUCGGAAUGACUGGGCGUAAAGGGCGCGUAGGCGGUUUACACAGUCAGAUGUGAAAUUCCAGGGCUUAACCUUGGGGCUGCAUUUGAUACGUGUAGACUAGAGUGUGAGAGAGGGUUGUGGAAUUCCCAGUGUAGAGGUGAAAUUCGUAGAUAUUGGGAAGAACACCGGUGGCGAAGGCGGCAACCUGGCUCAUUACUGACGCUGAGGCGCGAAAGCGUGGGGGGCAAACAGGAUUAGAUACCCUGGUAGUCCACGCUGUAAACGAUGUGUGCUGGAUGUUGGGUAACUUAGUUAC